This 398-nucleotide long non-coding RNA is filed under the name Setaria italica (foxtail millet). RNAcentral describes it as "long non-coding RNA (SITA_LNC000793)". The record is from RNAcentral. Lineage: Eukaryota; Viridiplantae; Streptophyta; Magnoliopsida; Poales; Poaceae.
AGGAGCAUAGAACUAGUAGUAGUAGUACGAAGGAACUAGGGGAUAGAGGUGACAAGAAGCAAGCGAUUCAUUCAUACGGGCGGCACGGGCGGUUGCUCCUGCUUCUGGUCCUUGGAGUCGGGGAGGAGGUCGAGGUCGGCGGGCUUAGCGGCGGCGGCGUCGUCAUGGCGGGGCGCGGAGGAGAGGAUUAGGGGUCGGUCCUUGGCCUCCUCGUCGUCGUCGCGGUCGUCGUCGUCGUCGGUGGAGAGGUUGAUGCAGGAGCAGCGCUCAAGGGAGGCGAAGAAGGCGGAGGCGACGCUGGUGCCGACCCAGGUGGCCCAGCUCUCCAUGGCCGCCGGCGAUCUGCUUGCUAGGGUUCGGCCGCGGUGGGGAGGAGACCGGAGAAGGGGAGGAGGAGG